UUCUUCUCAAUCUCGAUUUCUUUAUUCUGUACUCGCAUUCUCUCCAAUUUGCUCAAGUGUUAUUGUCUUGUCUACUUGUUGUGCUCAUUUAUUUACUAAAGUUGUUCAUUAUUUAUCAAUUAUUAUACUUCAAUUUCAAGAUGUCUUCUUCUCGUGGUGAGGGUGUUUCAAGAAAGCUCAGAUCUAAAGAUAUACAAGUAAGAAUUUAUGAUUUCCUUUGGUUAAUUAUAUGUGAUUUAUGCUUGGAUCUAUAUCUAUACACACCUUUAUGUUUUUGUUGCUUGUGGAUUUUUGUGCAGAUUUAUGUUGAAUUCUCUUUGUUUAAUCUUGUUCCAAUUAAUGCCAUUGAGUUUUUUUCUUUUUCUUUUUUUUGCCUUAUAUGCCAAUUUGUUGUGAUGCCAUAAGGGGUCUUCAGUUUAUGGAGGUCUAAGGGUAAUCGGCAAUUUGAAACGUUUAAGCGUUUUAUUAUAACUAGAUUCGAUUUUUACCGAAUCUUGAAACGCUGAGUGGGCUCAAACUCAAACACUGAGAACAACUUAAAUUUCGUGAUAUAAUAUUUUGACAUAUUAACCAAUAUUAGUUGAAUUUCAUGAUUUAAAUAACUAUUAACACUUACUUCCUCCGUCCCAACAAAGAUACCCCUUCCUUGAACGACACGAGAUUUUAUGCAAUUUUAUUUUGUGUGUUGAGUGGAGAGAGUAAAGUAAGAGAGAAGUAAGAAAGUAUAGAUAAAAGGUGUUUUCAUUUUUUGUAACGAGUCAUCUUGAUUGGGACAAACUAAAAAGGAAAGUGAGUCAUCUUUAGUGGGACGGAGGGAUUACUGUAUUAAAGCAUAAGUAUUUGACAACUUUGUGCAAUGGUGAGCGUGCAAAGAUGAUGAUAGAGAUAUUAACUCGUAAAUCAAAAGAAAAGCAGUGGGGGUACAUGACCAAGAAUAUAUAAAAUGUUUCUGAUUCAUUCAAUGGUAAAUGAUGAGCUGAUGAUAAUUUCCAAACAGGCAUCAGAUAGUCCCAAAAAAUCAAUAAGGUGAAAUAUCUAUUUCCUGUCCAAUCUUCAUGGUUUUUUGGCUUGAAGAUGAAAGAAAUGCUGAUUUGUGUGCUGUGAAAGUAAAGCAGCAUUGCACAAAAGAGGACCACGUUUAUGAUGACCUCGAAACUCAGUAUUCCGUAGUGGAGCCAGCAGAAAGAGUGCAUGAACGUUUGGAAAACGAACUACCUCAUUUUCUGAAAUAUAUGCUCGAAUCAAAUGUUCAAAACGGAUUUUGGCUGCAGAAAAUAUUUGCCCAAACAUAACACAUGGAUUGUGUUGGUGGAUGAAUGGGGAACUGAGUACACGACAACUUACCUUUACAAGAGCCUCGGCUUGAGCGCUGGAUGGAAGGGCUUUUCCGAAGUGCACAAGUGUUUUUCCAUAUGACUGCGCCUCGCGAAUUUAAGGUACACAUUGUGAGAGUGCACGAUGACGAUGUUUUAAGUGCAGCACUCUGUCUCACUGAUAUGGAUGCUUCUGCGAAAGGAAGCAGCAGUGGUUAGAUACCUCUUUUCUUCUACUAUUCUACAAUGCAUUACAAUAUGAAUUCCAUAUCAAAAUUAAAUAAUUAGAAUUUGUAAUAGUUAUAAAAUUAUGCACAUUCUCAUGCACUACAUAAACAUAGCGCACACACAGUGCAUCAUUUUUAUGGAACAAAUUUUUUGGAAUUGAAUUGUAAUUUAAUUCCUUCAAAUUCAAUUCUGUAAUUCUAGUAAUUCCAAUUCCGUGUAUCGAAAGGAUCCUUAUGUAUUGUGUUGUCGUGGCAUACUUUUGAGAGAAGAUCUCGUGAAGACGCGGAAGAGGAGGGGGAGGAAGCCUAAGUACGGGGUGCCUUAUCAGCGUGACAUUGCUUCUCCAGUAGAGAACUUCAAAGGCGAAAACUCGAUCCUUUUUUCCUCGGAAAUGGUUCAAAAAGGUCCUGAAAUCACAAAUCCGGCCCAAACGAAUGACCUCUGCUACCCCGAGACAUGUUUUUUACGCGAUCAUGUUCAUGAGGGCGUCACAUGUAGAUAGCUGGGCAAAGUUUCGAGGUUGGUUGUAGGCGGUACGAGUUUUUGAGUGGAUCCCAUAUAUAUAGAUGCUUCAAACUUCGAUUUACAACGUGGAGAUGGUGUGGAAGAUGCAAAUAUUCGGAGAAAUCGUGGAAAUGUAGAAGAUUAGUUAUUUGAUUCUAUUGAUGGUAGAGUACUUGUCUAUAUCAUUAAGAGAAUAACUGGUGAAGCUGAAUAGAUAAAUGCAUAUGCUAUCAUACAGAAUCAAAGAAAACGAAUUACUUCCAUCAUUCAUUGUAUAUUUACAUCAAAAAAGAAUCAGAGCAAACAAAAUCAUAAUUACAAGGUUGGGGAUUGAUGUAUCCAAA
Molecule: long non-coding RNA, 2389 nt
Organism: Salvia splendens (bonfire salvia)
Lineage: Eukaryota; Viridiplantae; Streptophyta; Magnoliopsida; Lamiales; Lamiaceae
Exons: 3
Source: RefSeq, a predicted model, not a curated record